RNAcentral lists this unclassified non-coding RNA (220 nucleotides) under uncultured Tomentella. RNAcentral describes it as "sequence contains ITS2". Lineage: Eukaryota; Fungi; Basidiomycota; Agaricomycetes; Thelephorales; Thelephoraceae. The record is from RNAcentral.
ACACCUCAACCCUCGUGGUUUGCCACGACCGGCUUGGACUUUGGAGGUUUUGCUGGCCCCUGUGGUCAGCUCCUCUCAAAUGAAUCAGCUUACCAGUGUUUGGUGGUGUCGCAGGUGUGAUAACUAUCUGCGCUUGUGGCUUUCCACCAUGUAACCUUCAGUGAUGGGGGUUCGCUGGGGCUCAUAAAUGUCUCUCCUCAGCGAAGACAGCUUUGUGAAC